AAUAUUUGACAAUGGGGGCAACCCUGAUCCAGCCAUGCCGCGUGUGUGAAGAAGGUCUUCGGAUCGUAAAGCUCUGUCCCUGGGGAAGAAGGUCUUCGGACUUGACGGGACCUAAGGAGGAAGCACCGGCUAACUCCGGGCGCGCAGCCGCGGUAAUACGUAGGGGGCAAGCGUUGUCCGGAAUUAUUGGGCGUAAAGGGUGCGUAGGCGGCCUUUUAAGUCAGAUGUGAAAGCCCACGGCUUAACCGUGGGACUGCAUUUGAAACUGGAGGGCUUGAGUAUCGGAGAGGGUAGUGGAAUUCCCAGUGUAGCGGUGGAAUGCGUAGAUAUUGGGAGGAACACCAGUGGCGAAGGCGACUACCUGGACUGAUACUGACACUGAGGUGCGAAAGCGUGGGGAGCAAACA
RNAcentral lists this ribosomal RNA (407 nucleotides) under uncultured bacterium. RNAcentral's name for it is "partial 16S ribosomal RNA". It matches the Rfam family "Bacterial small subunit ribosomal RNA", at positions 360 to 774 of the family's 1533-position model. The record is from RNAcentral.